Molecule: non-coding RNA, 26 nt
Filed under: Cricetulus griseus (Chinese hamster)
Lineage: Eukaryota; Metazoa; Chordata; Mammalia; Rodentia; Cricetidae
Source: RNAcentral
CACAAUGCUGGAGGUGUUUGACAAUU